RNAcentral lists this ribosomal RNA (441 nucleotides) under uncultured bacterium. Its description in RNAcentral is "partial 16S ribosomal RNA". It matches the Rfam family "Bacterial small subunit ribosomal RNA", at positions 338 to 795 of the family's 1533-position model. The record is from RNAcentral.
CCUACGGGAGGCUGCAGUGGGGGAUAUUGCACAAUGGGGGGAACCCUGAUGCAGCGACGCCGCGUGGGUGAAGGAGUGCUUCGGCAUGUAAAGCCCUAUCGGCAGGGAAGAAGCAAGACGGUACCUGACUAAGAAGCCCCGGCUAACUACGUGCCAGCAGCCGCGGUAAUACGUAGGGGGCGAGCGUUAUCCGGAUUCACUGGGUGUAAAGGGAGCGUAGACGGCCAUGCAAGCCAGGGGUGAAAGCCCGGGGCCCAACCCCGGGACUGCCCUGGGAACUGCAUGGCUGGAGUGCGGGAGGGGCAGGCGGAAUUCCUGGGGUAGCGGUGAAAUGCGUAGAUAUCAGGAGGAACACCGGCGGCGAAGGCGGCCUGCUGGACCGCGACUGACGUUGAGGCUCGAAAGCGUGGGGAGUGAACAGGAUUAGAUACCCGAGUAGUC